RNAcentral lists this ribosomal RNA (1095 nucleotides) under Pleosporaceae sp. BCC 7069. RNAcentral's name for it is "LSU rRNA". It matches the Rfam family "Eukaryotic large subunit ribosomal RNA", at positions 239 to 1361 of the family's 3401-position model. The record is from RNAcentral. Lineage: Eukaryota; Fungi; Ascomycota; Dothideomycetes; Pleosporales; Pleosporaceae.
UCGCCGUGUAAAGCCCCUUCGACGAGUCGAGUUGUUUGGGAAUGCAGCUCUAAAUGGGAGGUAAAUUUCUUCUAAAGCUAAAUACUGGCCAGAGACCGAUAGCGCACAAGUAGAGUGAUCGAAAGAUGAAAAGCACUUUGGAAAGAGAGUCAAAUAGCACGUGAAAUUGUUGAAAGGGAAGCGCUUGCAGCCAGACUUGCCUGUAGUUGCUUAUCUGGACUUUUGUCCAGUGCACUCUUCUGCGGGCAGGCCAGCAUCAGUUUGGGCGGUUGGAUAAAGGUCUCUGUCAUGUACCUCCUUUCGGGGAGGCCUUAUAGGGGAGACGACAUGCAACCAGCCCGGACUGAGGUCCGCGCAUCUGCUAGGAUGCUGGCGUAAUGGCUGUAAGCGGCCCGUCUUGAAACACGGACCAAGGAGUCUAACAUCUAUGCGAGUGUUUGGGUGUCAAGCCCAGACGCGUAAUGAAAGUGAACGGAGGUGGGAACCCUUUGGGUGCACCAUCGACCGAUCCUGAUGUCUUCGGAUGGAUUUGAGUAAGAGCAUGGCUGUUGGGACCCGAAAGAUGGUGAACUAUGCUUGAAUAGGGUGAAGCCAGAGGAAACUCUGGUGGAGGCUCGCAGCGGUUCUGACGUGCAAAUCGAUCGUCAAAUUUGGGCAUAGGGGCGAAAGACUAAUCGAACUAUCUAGUAGCUGGUUCCUGCCGAAGUUUCCCUCAGGAUAGCAGUAACGUAUUCAGUUUUAUGAGGUAAAGCGAAUGAUUAGAGGCCUGGGGGUUGAAACAACCUUCACCUAUUCUCAAACUUUAAAUAUGUAAGAAGUCCUUGUUACUUGAUUGAACGUGGACACUUGAAUGUACCGUUACUAGUGGGCCAUUUUUGGUAAGCAGAACUGGCGAUGCGGGAUGAACCGAACGCGGGGUUAAGGUGCCAGAUAUACGCUCAUCAGACCCACAAAAGGUGUUAGUCAUCUAGACAGCAGGACGGUGGCCAUGGAAUCGGAAUCCGCUAAGGAGUGUGUAACAACUCACCUGCCGAAUGAACUAGCCCUGAAAAUGGAUGGCGCUCAAGCGUAUUACCCAUACCCCGCCGCCGGGGC